CGGGGCGUAGCGCAGCUGGCUAGCGCGUCUGGUUUGGGACCAGAAGGUCGACAGUUCAAAUCUGUCCGCCCCGACCA
RNAcentral lists this transfer RNA (77 nucleotides) under Candidatus Omnitrophota bacterium. Its description in RNAcentral is "tRNA-Pro". It matches the Rfam family "tRNA". From Rfam's summary of the family: Transfer RNA (tRNA) molecules are approximately 80 nucleotides in length. Their secondary structure includes four short double-helical elements and three loops (D, anti-codon, and T loops). Further hydrogen bonds mediate the characteristic L-shaped molecular structure. tRNAs have two regions of fundamental functional importance: the anti-codon, which is responsible for specific mRNA codon recognition, and the 3' end, to which the tRNAs corresponding amino acid is attached (by aminoacyl-tRNA synthetases). tRNAs cope with the degeneracy of the genetic code in two manners: having more than one tRNA (with a specific anti-codon) for a particular amino acid; and 'wobble' base-pairing, i.e. permitting non-standard base-pairing at the 3rd anti-codon position. The record is from RNAcentral. Lineage: Bacteria; Pseudomonadati; Candidatus Omnitrophota.